UUAACGAUUUAUAUCUAAACUCAGACAACAUAAUUAUGAAAGAAUUUGAGAAGGCUACUGGCAGGCACUGACCAGGGGUAUGAAACCCCGGCGGCCCUUAAAGGCGGGCCUACCAAAGCAACAUGGUAUAGUUAACAAAGGGUUGGAGGUCGGGCCUAGAAGACCCUAACUCGGUAAUGAUCCUUCCGCAGGUUCACCUACGGAAA
This 206-nucleotide unclassified non-coding RNA is filed under the name uncultured fungus. RNAcentral's name for it is "sequence contains ITS1". Lineage: Eukaryota; Fungi. The record is from RNAcentral.